This 165-nucleotide ribosomal RNA is filed under the name uncultured bacterium. RNAcentral's name for it is "partial 16S ribosomal RNA". It matches the Rfam family "Bacterial small subunit ribosomal RNA", at positions 338 to 492 of the family's 1533-position model. The record is from RNAcentral.
CCUACGGGAGCCACCAGUGGGGAAUAUUGGCCAAUGGGGGCAACCCUGAUCCAGCAAUCCCGCGUGUGUGAAGAAGCCCUGCGGUUUGUAAAGCACUUUCAGUGGGAGAGGAAAAGCUCAAGCUUAAUACCUCCCUGAGUCUUGACGUUACCCACAGAAGAAGCU